AGUGAACGCUGGCGGUAGGCCUAACACAUGCAAGUCGAACGGCAGCACAGUGAGUGCUUGCUCUUACGGGUGGCGAGUGGCGGACGGGUGAGGAAUACAUCGGAAUCUACUUUGUCGUGGGGGAUAACGUAGGGACACUUACGCUAAUACUGCAUACGACCUACGGGUGAAAGCAGGGGAUCUUCGGACCUUGCGCGAUUGUAUGAGCCGAGGUCGGAUUAGCUAGUUGGCGGGGUAAAGGCCCACCAAGGCGACGAUCCGUAGCUGGUCUGAGAGGAUGAUCAGCCACACUGGAACUGAGACACGGUCCAGACUCCUACGGGAGGCAGCAGUGGGGAAUAUUGGACAAUGGGCGCAAGCCUGAUCCAGCCAUACCGCGUGUGUGAAGAAGGCCUUCGGAUUGUAAAGCCCUUUUAGUGGGGAAGAAAAGCAGCAGGUUAAUACCUCGCUGUUCUGACGGUACCCAAAGAAUAAGCACCGGCUAACUUCGUG
This 492-nucleotide ribosomal RNA is filed under the name uncultured bacterium. Its description in RNAcentral is "partial 16S ribosomal RNA". It matches the Rfam family "Bacterial small subunit ribosomal RNA", at positions 29 to 507 of the family's 1533-position model. The record is from RNAcentral.